Molecule: non-coding RNA, 1799 nt
Organism: Jatropha curcas
Lineage: Eukaryota; Viridiplantae; Streptophyta; Magnoliopsida; Malpighiales; Euphorbiaceae
Source: RefSeq, a predicted model, not a curated record
UCGGUCUUCCACAGAAGCAGAGUAUCGCUCAGUAGCAGCCACAACGUCUGAGGUUUCAUGGCUUCAAAGUUUGCUUCAAGAACUCCAGCCUACAGUUAUUUAUAAGCCAUUAAUCUUGUGUGAUAAUAUUGGGGCUACAUACUUCUGUGCCAAUCCUGUUUUCCAUUCUCGCAUGAAGCAUUUAUCUCUUGAUUAUCAUUUUGUCCGUGAGAAGGUAACUUCUGGUCAACUUAUUGUUCAACAUAUCUCCAGUCAGGAUCAGCUUGCUGAUUUGCUUACUAAGCCGCAGUCCAAAGUUCGAUUACGUGUUUUUCGACCCAAGAUUGGCAUCUCUGAUGUAAGCUCAAUCUUGCGGGGGUGUAUUGAGGAUAACUCUCUUGUAUCAAGUCAAACUAGUUAGUUUCUGAUAUUUGAUUUUGUUUAACUAUAAAUAGUUUAGAUAUGAUUUGGAGAUUUUCUAUAUUUCAAAUGUAAUCUGCAAACUCUAUAAAUAUGUAUCUUGCUUCCUUGAAUAAUACAAUAAACAUUUACACAAGCAAUCUGAUCCUUUCAAUGGCCUUCUCACUCUUUUCUGGACUGAUACCUGGGUAGGGGAUUGCCCUUUGAUCAUGUUGGCAAGAUUAGAGGUUCCUUCGAACCACAUUCAUCUCCCUGUAGCCUUUUAUAAGGGGUCUAAUGGUUGGAAUUGGGAUCUUCUCCGUAUCUGGCUUCCGGAGUAUGCUUGCCUGCUGCUUGAACCAAUCUUUCUUAGUGAAGAUGCUCUUGAUUUAGAUGGUCUCGUUUGGAGGAUCUGGAAGAUUCAACUUCCUCAAUGCCUGAGAUGCUUCAUUUGGAUUAUUCAUCACCAACGGCUUAUGACCAAUGUGGAAAGAUACAAGCGGGGUUUUUGCUCUAAUCCCAGCUGCACUCUAUGUGGAGCCACUGCUGAGUCCCUUCUUCAUGUGUUGCGGGACUGUCCCUUGGCGAAGUACGUUUAGGAGAGUAUAUGGGAUUCUGCUUCUCUAUUUAAGUUUUCUUAUCUGCAAGUUCACGAAUGGUUGGAUCAAGCUUUGUCUUUUUUAAGCCCUUCCUUCUCUUCCUUUCACCCUGUUCAUAUUUUAUGUUUUGGGUUAUGGUAGAUCUGGAAAUGGCGAAAUGCAUUAAAUUUUCGAUAUGACUCUCUAUAGUUAUUCUCCAAGCUUAGUACUCUACGUUCCCAGCUGAAGGCUAACGCCUCUGCAUGGAAUGGUCUGUCUACCGUGUCCCCCCGCCUGAGUAGAUCAAUCUUUGGAGUUUCUCGGCAGCCUCCUCCUGUGGGAUGGAUAAAAUGGUGCUGCUAGGGGAAAUCCUGGUCGAGGUGGUUGUGGUGGCGUUCUUAGGGACAGUUGUAGUCAGUGGUGUGGUGGGUUCAUGAUGAGAUUGGGUUCGUGCUCCACGGAAGCUGAAUUGCAUGCUGUGUCGAAUGGUCUUCAAAUGGCCGUGAAUUUGCGUUAUAUGCAGGUCAUUGCUGAAAUGGAUUCUAUGACCUCUAAGUAUCUGCUGGAAGAGGGCAAUUCCCAAAAUAUCAGGCUGGGGAGACUGAUCUCCCAAUGUCAUGCCCUUAUGGGCAGAGACUGGUCGACGGUCCGCUUGCAGCAUUGUUUCUGAGAAGCCAACCAAGUGGCAGAUAACUGGCCAAUCUCGUUGUUGUGGGUGAGCCUGGCAAGAGGAUUCUUGUUUAGUCCUCUGAUCAGGUCCUCCAAUUCCUUAGCUUGGACUUGUACGGUGUUCACUGGCCUCGUUUAGGCCCUCGAUCAGCUUAGUUUCGUCUUUCUAGGAUG